CACCCCCUGCCGGUUAGCACACAGCUGGGUUGUCCGCAUCACCUUCUUCCUCCAUCUCCCUGAAUUCCGCGAGUCCACGAACACUCGGUCAAUCUAUCCUACAGCUCAAAAAAAGGGCUCCAGGACUCUGAUCUCACCUUCAACCCGUCUGAUCCCAAUCAGACAGAAAACCAGCAGGGUCUGCCCAAAGAAGUAUAAUCGAAGAAAACCUCACAGCACGAUCAACCCAAAAAAUCGCAGCAAGGAACAAGUUUUCCUCUCCCUAAGCAGCAGUGGUGGCAACAAGGUCUGUAUGUCUUCCACGUGAAUUGGAGCUGUGCUUCUCGUAGGGAACUCGAGCUUCCUCAAUCCAGAACUACAUCAAGAUUUCUACACUGCCGGCAGACUUUAUGUAGGCAAAAAAAAGGGCAACGGUUUUCCUGCAAUACAAUAGAUGUCCCCUCACUUUACUUUAAAUAAGUACUGCGGAUUACCAGUGUGGUUAGAUUCAUGCCUUUAAUAGUCAGUCUACACACUUUUGACAUUUAUAUCUAAUGUUCUCCCCAAGCUAAUUCGGUCAAGAAACAAGUUUGUGUUUAAUGCGCUUGCUUCAUAUAUUUUUUGUUUAGAUCGUUUCACUUGUUUUUAUUACUUUUGCAAACCAUGGUUGUAUUUUAUUUAAUAAUUGCAGUACCUGUUUUAUAUGUUGUUAUUUUGCUUCAGUUCAGCCCAGUUUCCACUGCGUGGGGCCAAAUCUUUGACAUAGUAAAUAUUUUCUUGUUGUUUUUUGACCACAUAAUGCAUCUACUCUCAAAGCUUGGUAACAAUCACUGCUAACUAACUUUCUUUACCUCACAUGUAUUUACCUUUAAUUGCUGUAAGCCCUUCAUGCAAAAAUAAAAAUGCAAGCAACAAUAUUAGAGAAAAGUAGGUUAGCUUGAGGCUGCUCAAGUUAUAAAUUUCAGACUUAUGCUUACAACCUGAUUUCAAGCUGGAGUAACGUUCUAAAAGACUUAUUUUUGGGGUCAGCUAAAUAUAGCAGAUUAUGCAGCAUGCUCCUGACAUUUGUCCUUUGCAAGGAAACAUCUUGACAGAGAUUUGGGGUAUAUCUACUUAAGUAGAUUCUGUAUCAGUGGCACAUAUGUGAAGUACAUAGCAUCUUCCUUGUCCAAGUGUCAGGACAAUUGACAUUUUCAGAAAUGUGGCUAAAAUGAAUAUCAGUUUAUGGGUCAUAUUUUAUUGGAUGCAUAAACUGAUAAUGCUUGAACAUUAUUCACUCAGAACAGAGCAUGUAUAUACAGUACACCAUUAAUACGGAAGCAAAUGCAUAGCAGUGUGCAACAGGGAUUUAAAUAUAAUGCAUGUUUCUUCAAAUCACAGAACAUGGGAGAAACUACAGUUAGCUCUACCUCUGCAGGCCCAUGUUGCAUUAUUCAAUAUAGUGGAAAUUAACAAUUUUGCAUGAAUUGAUUAUUCUUCAUUGAACUGCAAUCGAUAGUCCAUUUUCCUCUGUAAGCUAACAUUAUUUAACAAAAAAGUGAAAAUUUUAAAAGAAUAAAAAAUAAACAAAGUAAGAUAACGUUAUGUAUGUAGUUUAUUUUCACACUUUAAAGUAAUGUUUCUUUUCAUUUUCAGUUUAUAUAGUCACAGCAGUACAUAAUUUAAAAGAUUUUUUAAAAAAUCUGAUUUUUAUGCAUCCCCAGCAGCCUCUUUAUGAAGCUUCUCCAUUUUGAUACAGAGGACAAUUUUCACACUCUCAGCCAUGAUUUACUCCAAAAAAUCUGGCUCAUUUUCAACACUGAAGCAAAUAAAUUGCAUUAUAUUUGUUUUUACAGCUCUGCUGGAGCUAAUAAAAAAAAAAAAACAACCUCCCCCUUUCCUCCCCUGCAAUUUAAUUAAAGUAUGUUCUGGACUUGUCAAGACUAAUACUUCAAGUCUCUCAUGGUGGCCUUAGUAAUAUUUAAUCCCUGCUGUCUUUUCAAAACAAACACUGGAGAUCUGACAGCCAGAGGUUCAGUAGGUUAAAUGCUAAUCGCUUUAGACUGCGACAGACUAUGAAUGGAAGAUACCUCACAGGAGAUUCAGCUUCUGUCAUCCAGCACAUUACUCGUUACUAUUGUUUCAUCCAAUCCAUUAUUAGAAGCAGCAUGUUGCUCUGGCAGAAGUGGACGGCACUUUCAAACUGCGUAAUAAUCAGAAGUGGAGCGAGUGAGCUUCCGUUUCUGAAGCACCUUCCAUAAUCAGCCAUCAUCUCCUGGAAGGAGAAAGGUGUGACCUCUUACUAUCCCCAACUUCAAACUCUUUGCUUGAUCACAAAAAGAGCACGUCGCAACAAUCAGUGUCUGACGUGCCCACCUAUUCCAUCCUGGAUUUAUUUAUAUCCCCCCCGCCCCCCACCAUGACAAUGAUUAUGCAUGGCCUAGAGGUAGACACGCUCUUAUGAUGAAAGUUGAUGAGGUUUGUUAUUUGUUACGUUGAGAUGUGAAGCUUCCCGCCUGCAGGACCCGAUCAAAGCCGAGGCCUGUAAGACCAAUUAGAGUAUCCAGUAAAAACACUGAGCGGAGAUCAAAGAGGAAGCUUCCUUACACGACAGCCAAAGGGAUAAAAAAAAUAAAAUAACAGGAUCCCAUUAAGAGUAUGAGCACAUCCACUAAGAGAUCCAUUAUUUGUAUUGCUAGAUGCUCCUGGUUAGGGGCAGGACUGCAUUUUCCUUAUGUUUUGUUUUUUUUUUCUACAAAAAUGUAAAAUGGCUUUUUAUUGUUAAUAUUUCUAUACAAUACGUUGUUGCACAGGGAUAGGGAGCAACACACCCACCGCUGACAGCACUCUCUUUAAAAGAUCCUGCAGAUCCAGCCAAACAACUGUGCUAUUGUUAUUACACCACAUUUAGUCCAGGCACACAUCCGUUGAUGGAUAGAAAAAGGUUGUUGUACUGUGGGAGAGCACAAUGGCGGAUGAGACCAAAACACACACACAAAAAAAGAGCAGAAUGGAUUAGGGUGAGAUGUUCUGCCUUGAAGCAAACAAAACACACCAGUCAAUUACAUCAGGUGGGAACAAAAGAGAAAUGGAAAAAUGAUCAUAUGGGACUCAUUUUGUUCAGACCUUUUUGGCUUCUUCCCUCCCCCCAUUUGUAUGGAGUAUAGAAGUUAUGAUACAGCACAGCGACUCUAAUUUUGGAAAGGAUUCUCUUUAGUUUGACAGUUAAGACCCAAAUUAUUCAGACCUCUGGUGGAAUUAGAUCGAGCAAGCUGGUUUCUGAUUGAAAAUGGCACAAGCAACUCCAAAAACACAAGACAAUGUGCAUGUCGUAAAUUACUUGUCCAUUUUCUUUUUUGUACAUUUGAAUAAAAAAAAAAAAAUCAAUGCCCAAAAUUAUUUGUCCCUUCUCAGUAAUCAGUGGAAAAAGGUGUUGUUGGUUAUUACACUAACCAAAUUGUUCUGAAAAAUUAUGUUAAGCUUUUCACAAGUCUUCACUGUUAUCUUCGGUCCUCCCUAACCUUAAACAAUGGGAUUAUGAAUUUUUGACCUGAGUCAAAAGGUAUUUAUUUUUAUUCAUAAAAAAAAUUUAUGUUUGAUGUGUGGCGACUUCCACUUAUUUCAAUCCUGUUUGGUAUGGCAAAGUUGUAUGGAAAAAAAUAAACAUGGCAGUUAGAAAAUAAGACACACAGAUGGUAAUUACUAUAAUAGCUGCAUCUCUCUCUGAUGCAGCUCAGUGAUGCUUUAAAACUAACAUCUGGCUCCAUCUUUAAGUUGUACACAUGAGUGACAGAAAGAGAAAGUAAGACAGCCAAGACAGAGUAUUUACAGAAAUUGAGUACGGGUCAAAAUCUACAAUAAAAAAGUUCAAGUACAGAAUUAACCGACCUCAGCAGAAAGCAUUUGUCCUUCAUCAGGGGCCUCAUUUAAAAAAAUUUGACACAGCUAGAAGAUUUUACCUAUGGGAGACUCAAAGAAGGAAAUUUAAACUUAUUGGGCCUGACCUGAUGUAUUCUUUCACUAUAAGGUGUGUUUUUAUAAAUCUGGAUUUUUGACUUUGGGGCAUAUGUACAGUUUUAAUGUAGAUCCAACACAAUGUUUUCUAAAUGAGAACCCUGGUGUGUAAUGUAGGAGGAUACAGGGACUGCUGCAGAAACACAAGCACUGGAUAAACAGAUUCAUUUGUUUUAGAAGAAAACGUUAUGUUGUUAUGUAGCCAAAAUUAAAAUGCACAUUGUAAUUCAGGUUUCCCUGGUGCAGUUCUGUUUAUUCUGAAAAGAAAAAAAAAGUUUUUAUGAGUGAACUAUUCUGUUAUGUUGACAUAACAAUUGUAUUUUUAUGGUGAUUUCUCUUUGAACUCAAAAGUUAGAUUCUCAAAAUACAACAAACCCUUGAGAUCCAAACUCCUGCUGGCAAAGUUGGAACUCUGAGUAUUUUUCUUAUUACCACCCCGACCAAACUUUCCUUAGCAGUAAGCAGUUAAAAACAAGUUAAAAUGAAAAGACACCAAUAGUGCCAGGAGAAGCUACAUCUGGUGUGAAAGUCAUAUGCUGAAACAACGUUACCUUUGCAUUUAUUCUUUCAAAAGCCAUGAUUUAAGUCUCUUGUAGGAAAACAUUGAGGUGCAUCACAAGAUAAGAGUAAGACCAGAUUCUUGGCUUCUUGUCUAUUCUGCUAUCCGCUCAAUCACAAAGCCUGCGUGACGUAAGGUUUGUCAUCUAUACCCACCCACUACAGUCCUCUGAGAAUCUAAGGGGACGUCUGCUUUCAACCCAGAUUGCAGCACAUUAUCGCCCCCCUAAGUGGCUGUGAUUGUGGUGGGGUUAUCAGGCUGAGCCAUAACGUAACAAUAAGGGAACUGUUUGUCCGUGAGGUGUAAGCUCUAACAAUCACUGACACAAAGAGGCGUGUCAGGGUAAGGUGCAGGCUGUAUGCCUUUCUUUCACUGGAAGAAAAUGACAGCAUCGUGAAGAUUUUUGUUUUCCUUUUCAGAAGGCUUUCUGUUCUAAAAUUACAAAUUUUUCAAUUGCUUAUGCAGAGAAGAUUGAAGGUUUGCUCGCUUAAGAAGGCUAAAAUAAUCAUCUCUGUAUCAUGUCUGUUUUGUUGGGGGAGUACUUAAGACAUAAAAUGGGAAACAAUUUCACUAAUCUUCAAAUUGCAGCUACAAGUUUAAAGUAAACCCUUUUGCUACACUCGUGUAGAUUAUACAGUCACAGCUCUGAGGCAUAAUUUGUCAUUUUUUUUUGUAUACGGAGCGCAAACCAGAUCCCUUUUUAUUCAAACCUCUAAUUAACUGAGCCGAAUUACAAAGAAUCACUUUUUUUUUUUUUUUUUGAUGAGCGCUUUGGUACUGAACAGAUUAAUUACUUCAGUGCCCUAUAUACAUUCAGUGCUACAUUUUUAGAGUAUGUGCACUGUGACUCAACUUGUCUACCAUUUAACGCCUUCAUUUCAGUGUUUCCUCCUUCCAUUGUUUCAAAAUUAAACGCAAGACAGAAAUAUUUAGCAGCUCCAGUGAAACCAAAAAUAGGCUCUGUGUAUGUGACAUCAAACAGUGAGUGAGAGUCUGCUUCAAAUAAUGGCCACUCAGUGCGAAGAGCUCUGGCAGAGCCCUCGACACGUCCAGACUGCUAGCACAUCAACUGGCAUGAAACGCGUCCGCCACACUUAACGCACCGCAGCCGCCGCAGUCAGGCCACUGCCAAUCAGCCUGAGAGGUCAGAGGAGCCCAUGAAAUGUGAACCUGCUCAAGUUUCACCCAUAGACAGUAAUUAAUAAUGAGCUCCCAAAGGAAAUGCAUUCCUCAAUCAGUUUGUGAUGGACUCGUCGUCAAAUGGCUGUGACCAAUCAUCCAAGGAGCAUAAUUACCAUCGAGGGAAAACAAGCACUCGUUUUGCUCGGAACAGAACAGAAACUCCUGGAAUUCAAAAGAGAAGCAUCUGUUAGAUCUGAAGUUUACACAUUAUUCUGUGUCUCAUGAUCUGAGAGGAGUCAGAUUGUUUAAAGGUGGAGAGAUUAAUUAGGCCUUCAGGUAGCACUGACCAAGGGCGUAGGAACAAGUUUAUCAUUGGGGGGGGGGACACAUAUCGGAAACYUGAAAGAUCCGUAAAUAGCUUGAGCAAAAAUGUCAAACAAUGGUGUCAUCAACGUGUUACUCUAAUCUGACCCCUU
Molecule: non-coding RNA, 6129 nt
Organism: Poecilia reticulata (guppy)
Lineage: Eukaryota; Metazoa; Chordata; Actinopteri; Cyprinodontiformes; Poeciliidae
Source: RefSeq, a predicted model, not a curated record